CCUACGGGUCGCAGCAGUGGGGAAUAUUGCACAAUGGGCGCAAGCCUGAUGCAGCCAUGCCGCGUGUGUGAAGAAGGCCUUCGGGUUGUAAAACACUUUCAGCGGGGAGGAAGGCGGUGAGGUUAAUAACCUCAUCGAUUGACGUUACCCGCGGAAGAAGCACCGGCUAACUCCGUGCCAGCAGCCGCGGUAAUACGGCGGGUGCAAGCGUUAACCGGAAUUACUGGGCGUAAAGCGCACGCAGGCGGUCUGUCAAGUCGGAUGUGAAAUCCCCGGGCUCAACCUGGGAACUGCAUUCGAAACUGGCAGGCUAGAGUCUUGUAGAGGGGGGUAGAAUUCCAGGUGUAGCGGUGAAAUGUGUAGAGAUCUGGAGGAAUACCGGUGGCGAAGGCGGCCCCCUGGACAAAGACUGACGCUCAGGUGCGAAAGCGUGGGGAGCAAACAGGAUUAGAUACCCCCGUAGUC
RNAcentral lists this ribosomal RNA (465 nucleotides) under uncultured bacterium. RNAcentral describes it as "bacterial SSU rRNA". It matches the Rfam family "Bacterial small subunit ribosomal RNA", at positions 338 to 795 of the family's 1533-position model. The record is from RNAcentral.